UAAAAGCCUAAGUAGUGUGU
Molecule: non-coding RNA, 20 nt
Filed under: Arabidopsis thaliana (thale cress)
Lineage: Eukaryota; Viridiplantae; Streptophyta; Magnoliopsida; Brassicales; Brassicaceae
Source: RNAcentral